ACGGGUGGGGCCCGCGCAGUCCGCCCGGAGGAUUCAACCCGGCGAGUUGCGGUCGGCCGGCGCGGGUUCGGCGGAUCCUCGCCUCCGCCUCCCCUCCGUCCCCCGGGCACCCGCCCGCGGGGGCGGGCCGGGGGGGGCGGGCCGGCGCGGGGACCGCCGCCCGGCCGGCGGCCGGCCCUGGCCGGGCGCAUUUCCUCCGCGGCGGUGCGCCGCGACCGGCUCCGGGUCGGCUGGGAAGGCCUCCGGCGGGCAGGUGGCCCGGCGCCGCGCGAGCGGCGGCGGGUGUUAGAGCCCCCGGGCAGCAGGUCUCGCCGAAUCCCGGGGCCGAGGGAGAGGACCGCCGCCGCGCCCUCCUCCCCCCCCCACCGCGCGCGCGGUGCAAGGGGGGGGCGCCUGUCCGCUGCCGUCUCCGGGCGGGGGGGUAGACCUGGUGCUCUCGCCGCGGGGCCGGGGCAGCCGGGGCAGCCGGGGCAGCCGGGGCAGCCGGGGCAGCCGGGGCAGCCGGGGCAGCCGGGGCAGCCGGGCCAGCCGGGCCAGCCGGGGCAGCCGCGCGUCGUCGCCCCUGCUGCCACGCCCGCGGGCUCCGUCGCGCUCGGCGCUUGGGGUGCGGGGAAGCGCGUGGCGUCCCUUCCCCUGGCCACCCUUCCUGGCGGGUGGCGGGUAGACCGACUCUCCCCGGCCGGACUUGGGCGCCUGGCGUUUGGCGGCGGGGUAGACCUGUUGCCCCCGUCAGGCCGUGCCGGCCCGGCCUGCCGCUCGGCGCCGGGGUACGCCUGGCAUCGCCGCCUGGCCCUGCCCGGCCUGGCGUUUCCAGGCGGCGGGGUAGACCUGCUGUCCCAGUCAGCCGGUCCCCAGCCUGCCGCCAGUCGGCGCCGGGGUAGACCUGUUCGCCGUCCUCGCCGCCCGGCCCUGCCCGGCCUGGCAAGUUGGCGCCGGGGUAGACCUGCUGUCCUCGCCGCCCGGCCCCGCCCGGCCUGCCGCUCGGCCUGCCGCUCGGCGCCGGGCUAGAGCUGCUGUCUUCCCCCGUCAGGCGGCGCCAGCCUGCCGCUUAGCGCCGGGGUAGACCUGUUGUCUUCCCCCGUCCGGCCCGAUGGGGUUUUUCCGUUUGGCCCCGGGCUAGAGCUGCUGUCUUCCCCCGUCAGGCGGCGCCAGCCUGCUGCUUAGCGCCGGGGUAGACCUGUUGUCUUCCCCCGUCCGGCCCGAUGAGGUUUUUCCGUUUGGCCCCGGGCUAGAGCUGCUGUCCCCGUCAGGCGGCGCCAGCCUGCUGCUUAGCGCCGGGGUAGACCUGUUGUCUUCCCCCGUCCGGCCCGAUGGGUUUGCCGUGUAGCGGCGGGCAGGCCUCUUGUUCCAGGCCCCGCUUGGAACUGUAGUGGCGUGAGCGGCCCGUAGAUUUGUUUCCUUUGUAGAUUUCUCCUCCUGGAGCUCGAGGCCUGCCGCCAGCGCCCCCCUCCCCCUCCCCCCCCCCCCCCCCCCCCGCCCCCCCCGCCCCCACCAUGUGGGUAGACCCGGCCUCCCCUCCUGGUGCUGGAGAGACCAGGUCUCGUCGAUCGGACCCGCAGCCCCGGGACCCAGUCCAGGCCCGCGAGCACGUCUCGGGCGGCCAGCCCGCACGUCCGGCCGCUCGCGCGCGCUGGUUCCCUCCCCCCCCCCCCCCCCCCCCCCCGAAAGCUGGGGCGUGAAGGCGAGUCACUGUCGGUCCCAGACGGCGGCGUCCCUGCCGGCUGCAUGCCUGAGCGGCCGUCAGCGUCACCCCCUGCCGCGCGCUUCCCCAGCUCCGGCCCGCCCUGCCGCCGCCCUGCCUGCAGCCCGCUCCCCCCGCCACUGCCGGAGAGGGAAGGAGGGACUCUUUAGGAGCCAGCGGCGUUCCCGCCGCCUCCGUGCCCAAACGGACAGCAGCGUCCGCUCUCUAAGCCCGGCUCCCGGCCCUCGAAAGCCUGCCGUGCCCUUGCCCCGCCUCGCACCUUGAUUUCUGCGUCUCUCACUCCCUCAUCCGCCCGCCUCGCUUCCGUCCUGCCGCAGCCUUGACCGGGGCUGGGGGUAGGCAGGAAGGAACGCCAUCGAACCAAAAGGCUCAGAGCGGCCGGAACAGGAUGCUUCUUCGAAAAGAGACAGCGCCAAGCAUCCCGCCACCACCUGCAGACGGUCGCUGGCCCUACUUCUGCACCAGGCUCUCGGCCUGCUCGCCGAACACCCUGGCCGCCUCGGCACCCAAGUCCUCGUCCCCCUGCUGCCGCUGCCGCCGCCGCCGCCGCCGCCGCCGCCGCCGAACUGGCUGAUGGGACCCCGGGCAGGGGCGGGAAAAGUCUGAGGGUGGCGCCAGGGAGGCUGAUGGUGGAGAGCAGGAGCGCCCCCAACCCUCGAGAGCCAGGGCGACGGAAGGGAGGGGGAGGGAGCGCGUCGGCGUCAGCGUGCGUGCCAUGCCCAUGCCCAUGCGUGCCUGUGUCAGUGUCUCUCUGUGUCUAUGUGCGUGCAGCUGUGGCCGUCUGCGGCAAAAAGAGAGGGGGCCGGCGGGGCUGUGAGUGGGUCUGAGAGGGCCUGCGUCCCCCUACCUCUCCGUGUAAACAUGGGCCGAG
RNAcentral lists this long non-coding RNA (2573 nucleotides) under Corvus moneduloides (New Caledonian crow). RNAcentral's name for it is "lncRNA (ENSCMUG00000017946.1)". The record is from RNAcentral. Lineage: Eukaryota; Metazoa; Chordata; Aves; Passeriformes; Corvidae.